RNAcentral lists this ribosomal RNA (400 nucleotides) under Paratriatoma hirsuta. RNAcentral describes it as "eukaryotic LSU rRNA". It matches the Rfam family "Eukaryotic large subunit ribosomal RNA", at positions 653 to 980 of the family's 3401-position model. The record is from RNAcentral. Lineage: Eukaryota; Metazoa; Arthropoda; Insecta; Hemiptera; Reduviidae.
CUUGAAACACGGACCAAGGAGUUUAGCGUGUACGCAAGUCAUUGGGUGUAUAAAACCCAAAGGCGAAAUGAAAGUAAAGAGUCGAGAUUUGUAAAGAAGUUUACUCUUUCUUACAAUCUCCUCUUUAGGGAAGAUGGAAAUAUCAUACAGUAAUGUAUGAAUAUUUCCCGCAUUCCCAGGGCGCUUGUUUCUUGCUUUGCGAGUCGAUGCGCACCUAGAGCGUACACGCUGAUACCCGAAAGAUGGUGAACUAUGCCUGGCCAGGACGAAGCCAGGGGAAACCCUGGUGGAGGUCCGCAGCGAUUCUGACGUGCAAAUCGAUCGUCGGAGCUGGGUAUAGGGGCGAAAGACCAAUCGAACCAUCUAGUAGCUGGUUCCCUCUGAAGUUUCCCUCAGGAUA